Molecule: ribosomal RNA, 869 nt
Filed under: uncultured archaeon
Lineage: Archaea
Description: bacterial SSU rRNA
Rfam family: Archaeal small subunit ribosomal RNA
Source: RNAcentral
UAGCCAGCGAGUAGAAAGAAUUAGAUUCUUUGCAUACUGCUCAGUAACACGUGGAUAACCUGCCCUACACUGGGGGAUAAUCUCGGGAAACUGAGCAUAAUACCCCAUAGACCACUACGCCUGGAACGGUGAGUGGUUGAAAGCUCAGGCGGUGUAGGAUGGGUCUGCGGCGUAUCAGGUCGUAGGGGGUGUAAUGGACCUCCUAGCCAUCGACGCGUACGGGUUGUGGGAGCAAUAGCCCGGAGACGGAUUCUGAGACACGAAUCCGGACCCUACGGGGUGCAGCAGGCGCGAAAACUUCACACUGCAGGAAACUGUGAUGAGGGAACUCCAAGUGACUGCCCAAUGGGUAGCCUUUUCUUGAAUCUUAAUAGUUCUUGGAAUAAGGGCUGGGAAAGACCGGUGCCAGCCGCCGCGGUAAUACCGGCAGCUCAAGUGGUCGUCGCUUUUAUUGGGCCUAAAACGUCCGUAGCCUGUUUGGUAAAUCUGUGGGUAAAUCAACGAGCUUAACUCGUUGAAUUCUGCAGAGACUGCCAGACUAGGGACCGGGAGAGGUAUGAGGUACUCUGGGGGUAGGGGUAAAAUCCUGUCAUCCUCAGAGGACCACCUGUUGCGAAGGCGUCAUACUGGAACGGAUCCGACGGUCAGGGACGAAGCCUAGGGGCAYGAACCGGAUUAGAUACCCGGGUAGUCCUAGGUGUAAACGCUGUGGAUUUGGUGUGUGGGGUCCGCAAUGGGCCCCAUGUGCCGGAGUGAAGAUGUUAAAUCCACUGCCUGGGGAGUACGGUCGCAAGGCUGAAACUUAAAGGAAUUGGCGGGGGAGCACUGCAACGGGAGGAGCGUGCGGUUUAAUUGGAUUCAACGCCGGG